GGGGAUUUAGCUCAGCGGCAUAAGCGCCUGCCUUGCAAGCAGGCAGUGGUGAGAUUGAUCCCCA
RNAcentral lists this transfer RNA (64 nucleotides) under Cavia porcellus (domestic guinea pig). It matches the Rfam family "tRNA". Rfam says of the family: Transfer RNA (tRNA) molecules are approximately 80 nucleotides in length. Their secondary structure includes four short double-helical elements and three loops (D, anti-codon, and T loops). The record is from Rfam by way of RNAcentral. Lineage: Eukaryota; Metazoa; Chordata; Mammalia; Rodentia; Caviidae.